This 322-nucleotide ribosomal RNA is filed under the name uncultured eukaryote. RNAcentral describes it as "partial 18S ribosomal RNA". It matches the Rfam family "Eukaryotic small subunit ribosomal RNA", at positions 1470 to 1796 of the family's 1831-position model. The record is from RNAcentral.
CCCUUAGAUGUUCUGGGCCGCACGCGUGCUACACUGAGUGGAUCAGCGGGUCAGGUUGCGCGAAAGCGUUUCCUAAUCUUUAAAUCCGCUCGUGAUGGGGAUUGACGGUUGCAAUUUUCUGUCAUGAACGAGGAAUACCUUGUAAGCGCGGGUCAUAAUCCCGCGCUGAAUACGUCCCUGCCCUUUGUACACACCGCCCGUCGCUCCUACCGAUUGAGUGGUCCGGUGAGGCUUUGGGAUCUGAGCGGAAAGAGCGUUUCGCUGUUUCUGCUCGGAAAACUCAGUCGAACCUUAUCAUUUAGAGGAAGGAGAAGUCGUAACA